GAUGAACGCUGACGGCGUGCCUAAUACAUGCAAGUAGAACGCUGAAGGAGGAGCUUGCUCUUCUGGAUGAGUUGCGAACGGGUGAGUAACGCGUAGGUAACCUGCCUGGUAGCGGGGGAUAACUAUUGGAAACGAUAGCUAAUACCGCAUGACAACAGUUAUUGCAUGAUAACUGUUUAAAAGGGGCAACUGCUCCACUACCAGAUGGACCUGCGUUGUAUUAGCUAGUUGGUGAGGUAACGGCUCACCAAGGCGACGAUACAUAGCCGACCUGAGAGGGUGAUCGGCCACACUGGGACUGAGACACGGCCCAGACUCCUACGGGAGGCAGCAGUAGGGAAUCUUCGGCAAUGGACGGAAGUCUGACCGAGCAACGCCGCGGGAGUGAAGAAGGUUUUCGGAUCGUAAAGCUCUGUUGUAAGAGAAGAACGAGUGUGAGAGUGGAAAGUUCACACUGUGACGGUAUCUUACCAGAAAGGGACGGCUAACUACGUG
This 495-nucleotide ribosomal RNA is filed under the name uncultured bacterium. RNAcentral's name for it is "partial 16S ribosomal RNA". It matches the Rfam family "Bacterial small subunit ribosomal RNA", at positions 28 to 507 of the family's 1533-position model. The record is from RNAcentral.